UACGGGGGGGGCAAGGGUUGUUCGGAAUUACUGGGCGUAAAGGGCUCGUAGGCGGCCAACUUAGUCAGACGUGAAAUCCCUCGGCUUAACCGGGGAACUGCGUCUGAUACUGGAUGGCUUGAGUUUGGGAGAGGGAUGCGGAAUUCCAGGUGUAGCGGUGAAAUGCGUAGAUAUCCGGAGGAACACCAGUGGCGAAGGCGACUUUCUGGCCUGUUCUUGACGCUGAGGCGCGAAAGCUAGGGGAGCAAACGGG
This 253-nucleotide ribosomal RNA is filed under the name uncultured bacterium. RNAcentral describes it as "partial 16S ribosomal RNA". It matches the Rfam family "Bacterial small subunit ribosomal RNA", at positions 524 to 776 of the family's 1533-position model. The record is from RNAcentral.